GGGGGAAACAAAUCUCACUCACCAACAUCAAGCCCCAGAGAGCCAACCUUUACCCAAAUAGUCCUUUGAGGACGCAUCUUAAAGGCAAAAACCCUGUAUAAACAACACAUACAGAAGAAGAAAAGCAAGGAGAAAAACCACGGCACAGCAUAAAAGUAAAAACGGAUCCCUCAUGCAACCCUCUCCGUGUGAACCUCAGAUUUGUGGAUCCAAACACACAAGCCAAAAGUUAUAUAUUUCUCUACCCGGUGAGGUGAGGGUUCAACCCUUCAACCGAGCAUGGAGGAGGAGCUCCCCCUCGC
This 302-nucleotide unclassified non-coding RNA is filed under the name Hevea brasiliensis (rubber tree). The record is from RNAcentral. Lineage: Eukaryota; Viridiplantae; Streptophyta; Magnoliopsida; Malpighiales; Euphorbiaceae.